RNAcentral lists this ribosomal RNA (532 nucleotides) under uncultured bacterium. RNAcentral's name for it is "bacterial SSU rRNA". It matches the Rfam family "Bacterial small subunit ribosomal RNA", at positions 969 to 1502 of the family's 1533-position model. The record is from RNAcentral.
CCUUACCUACUCUUGACAUCUCAGAANCCAGCGGAGACGCAGGUGUGCCUUCGGGAACUGUAAGACAGGUGCUGCAUGGCUGUCGUCAGCUCGUGUUGUGAAAUGUUGGGUUAAGUCCCGCAACGAGCGCACCCCUUAUCCUUGUUUGCCAGCACUUCGGGUGGGAACUCCAGGGAGACUCCCGGUGAUAAACCGGAGGAAGGUGGGGACGACGUCAAGUCAUCAUGGCCCUUACGAGUAGGGCUACAUACGUGCUACAAUGGCGCAUACAGAGGGCGGCCAACUUGUGAAAGUGAGCGAAUCCCAAAAAGUGCGUCGUAGUCCGGAUUGGAGUCUGCAACUCGACUCCANGAAGUCGGAAUCGCUAGUAAUCGUGGAUCAGAAUGCCACGGUGAAUACGUUCCCGGGCCUUGUACACACCCCCCGUCNCACCAUGGGAGUGGUCUGCAAAAGAAGUGGGUAGUUUAACCUUCGGGAGGACGCUCACCACUUUGUGGUUCAUGACUGGGGUGUAGUCGUNACAAGGUAACCG